GAUGAACGCUGGCGGCGUGCCUAAUACAUGCCAGUCGAGCGAACAGACGGGGAGCUUGCUCCUCUGACGUUAGCGGCGGACGGGUGAGUAACACGUGGAUAACCUACCUAUAAGACUGGGAUAACUUCGGGAAACCGGAGCUAAUACCGGAUAAUAUAUUGAACCGCAUGGUUCAAUAGUGAAAGACGGUUUUGCUGUCACUUAUAGAUGGAUCCGCGCCGCAUUAGCUAGUUGGUAAGGUAACGGCUUACCAAGGCAACGAUGCGUAGCCGACCUGAGAGGGUGAUCGGCCACACUGGAACUGAGACACGGUCCAGACUCCUACGGGAGGCAGCAGUAGGGAAUCUUCCGCAAUGGGCGAAAGCUUGACGGAGCAACGCCGCGUGAGUGAUGAAGGUCUUCGGAUCGUAAAACUCUGUUAUUAGGGAAGAACAAAUGUGUAAGUAACUAUGCACGUCUUGACGGUACCUAAUCAGAAAGCCACGGCUAACUACGUG
Molecule: ribosomal RNA, 497 nt
Filed under: uncultured bacterium
Lineage: Bacteria
Description: partial 16S ribosomal RNA
Rfam family: Bacterial small subunit ribosomal RNA
Source: RNAcentral